This 441-nucleotide ribosomal RNA is filed under the name bacterium CPTAC126. Its description in RNAcentral is "bacterial SSU rRNA". It matches the Rfam family "Bacterial small subunit ribosomal RNA", at positions 949 to 1395 of the family's 1533-position model. The record is from RNAcentral.
UUUUGAACGCGAAGAACCUUACCAGCUCUUGACAUCCCUCUGACCGGUCUAGAGAUAGGUCUUUCCUUCGGGACAGAGGAGACAGGUGGUGCAUGGUUGUCGUCAGCUCGUGUCGUGAGAUGUUGGGUUAAGUCCCGCAACGAGCGCAACCCUUGAUCUUAGUUGCCAGCACUUCGGGUGGGCACUCUAAGGUGACUGCCGGUGACAAACCGGAGGAAGGUGGGGAUGACGUCAAAUCAUCAUGCCCCUUAUGAGCUGGGCUACACACGUACUACAAUGGCCGGUACAACGGGAAGCGAAACCGCGAGGUGGAGCCAAUCCUAUCAAAGCCGGUCUCAGUUCGGAUUGCAGGCUGCGACUCGCCUGCAUGAAGUCGGAAUUGUUAGUAAUCGCGGAUCAGCAUGCCGCGGUGAAUACGUUCCCCGUCUUGUACACACGCAC